RNAcentral lists this long non-coding RNA (3763 nucleotides) under Orbicella faveolata. Its description in RNAcentral is "uncharacterized LOC110042012, transcript variant X1". The record is from RNAcentral. Lineage: Eukaryota; Metazoa; Cnidaria; Anthozoa; Scleractinia; Merulinidae.
GAUGAAAACACGAAUCUCGCGCGUAGAAAGAUGUCAUGCAAUGUGCCAAGCGUCUAGAAACAUCGAUUGAAACCCACGAGGUGCUAAUGAUCCGAAUCUAUUUUCCCUCUACCUCUAACCCUCCCAUUUAUAAUUGCACUAACCAUAUUCAAUAUGCGACAAGCAAAGCCAAAGGGCAAAUACUUCAACUUUCUCAGGAAAAAAAUAUACAGGACUGCUAAGUUCGACAAAUAUUAGAAACAGGUUUAGAGCCAUGCAACCGACGAUGACGCAAAGCUUCGAUUCUAUUUGACAGGUUCAAAAGAAAGAAAUCACUAACGAGCGUUUGCACGCUACCGCGCGCAUAUGGGAGACGCGUUUUCACGCGCGCGCGUGUGAGAGAACGUGCUGGUUGACAGAGACUACUAAAAUUAGAUUAUUCUGGUGCUGCCGUCAUUAAGGUAUUAGCAUAAUUUGCGCGCAUGGUCGGUUUAUCACUCGCCGAUUCAAGCACGUUGUUCUGAGCAAGAGUGAGGGCAGUUUCCACUUAAAGAUUACAAUUUCAGUUUCGAAUCAAACCCAAUAUGGCCCAGCCGGGAGAUCCUGUAAAUGAUUUUAUCGAAUUCGUUCAAGUAUGGGGAGGUGUCCUCAGCAACUAUCUGGAAGCGGUCAUAAUGUACGACUCACGAAGGCGGAGUAAGUACAUAUGCUGCGUCUUAUGUCGAAAGUCUGAGAAAGUUUCCAGCAAACACUUUCUCGAAAAAUUGCAGGGUUUACGGUUCAAGUAGGAUACAAGCUUUUCGAAAGAGAAGUGAAUAGUGUGAAGCGCUAACAAAUUAUCACGAGUACCGAAGAAAUGAUAACGAUUCGGCGCCGACAAGGAGGAGAAUAUACCAUGGAAGAUGGAAGCGGAAAGGACAUCACCAUGUCUAAAACUUUUUUUGCCAACUUAUCAAAACCAAGCUUAGCGACUUGAGCAAGAAUCAGGAAUUACAGAGGAUGCUUGCCGAUCUAGGGUAUCAACUGAAUCUGUAAACUUCAAGUGUAGGCCAACCACCUACGCUUCGCGCGUAUAUAGUUAAACUUUUAAAAUACUUGUACUGCGGUAGAAACGAGACGGAACUGUAUAUAUAAUCAAACAGCCCAACGAAUAGUAAAUGAUAAAUGCGCUUCCAACACAAGCAUUCUAAGAAAAACAUCUCGUUUAAUUAAAUGCCAUGUCAUGUCUCGAAAUGCUCAGAGCCACACGCGCGCGGUGCAGGAGAUCCAAAUUGGUUCUCUCCCUACCUUCGCUCCUCCCCUUCCUAAGGUGGACUGAUUAACAAGCAUUCUUUGUUCUUGAGUCAGAUACCUCACGCUAGGAACAAGCCUCAUGGAAUUAAGUUUUUAUAACAAGCCAUUUUGCUCUUCAAUGUUGGGAAAUCUGUACUUAACGCAUUUGGCUAUUUGCUUAAAUGUGUGCAUUCUGUAAAGUUAUCAAAUCAUAGAGCCGCUCUAAAACUGUCUAAACGACAAUUUUGAUUCUAAACUGCGAUGCAAAUAAACGAAGCGCGCAUAUCACGCAACAUUGAGAUCAGUCCACAAAGACUGGCUAAAAAAGAUUCCAGAGUAAAAUGUGGCGCUCACGAAGACUUUUGUCGUUUUAUCCUGUUACACACGGCCACAGCUAGUAAAAUUUAUCAAUCGAGUAAGCCAUUCCAUUUCUCAUCGAAACUGACUGUAAAGAUACUUCACAGAAAUGCUACGAAAUGCUAACUGAACGAAACGAGGCAGUCUAAAUUCGGACAAAAACUAUCAUGAGAACUUAACACUUAAAUCAGAAGAGACAGUGAAUCAGAAUUUCACGAUCUACGUACUACCUUCCGUUUCAAGUACAACAACAGGCCUAGUCGAAACAAUUAGAUGGAACAAGACCGAGCUUAGAGCGCAGAUUAUUAAGCCAUACAUCAGUUUAGAAACAAAUAAGAGGAAACGCACCUUCAAUUGCGUCCAUUUCUCCAUAGCUCUUCUCUACUCAAACUGUAUGUCCCAAACACAAUAUUUACGAACAUUAAAAUCUCUCUGAAACAUUGUUUUUUCUACUGCGCAAUAAACAUCGCAGAACGACUGGAACUUUCCUUGCCUCUUAAAUAGCCCCAGAAAAUUUAAAGUGUGACGUUUACACUUUUAUGAGAAGCUAUUGGUCGCGCACUUUUAUUUUGUUGGGACGCACAUUCCCCAAAGCACCUAGGGCGAAACGUCAUUGGAGGAGGUCAGGCCAUAAUUUGGCAGCUUGUCAAUCAACGUCUUCAUUCACGAACAAUGAUAUGUCUUUCUUAGGCACUCGAUUAUUCUCGUGCUUGUGUGAUCAAUAAACAAAAUUACACAAUGGUGUUUCGAUACAACACACUAGAUGCUAGGAAAGCUGAGCGCUUAAUCGUUACGAAGACUUUCCUUUACAUAGAAACGUAAUGAAUCGAUCAAUGGAAGGAGUUCCAGAGGUUUCCUCGUACUUUUCUCCAUAAAGCAAAAUGGGCAACACAUUCGUAAGAAGAAAGACAGAAUCUACGAAACAGACACAUCUACCUCACGUCUUUUGGAAGAAUCGCGACAGAAAACGAAUUCACACGUAUUUCAUUUGCUUAUUUGUGUCAUACUUGGAAUGUCUUAAUGCCUUGAUGUUAUAGCGUUCCUUUUCUUUAGCAGUGCAUAACAACGUGGUAAGACACAACAAGCACAAAUAAACAAUCCAGAUCAAAAAAAAUAGUGACUCAACGUUCAGGUUCGAGGAUAAAGCUCCUCAAGAACCAUCUAAAUUCAAACUAUUUUAAUAUAAUUAAAAUUACAAUCAUAACAACUUAUCAAAUAUUAUGAUAGAUUCCCCAGUAAGACACUUGAAGCUUAAGUCCUGACCAGGCUCCUUGGACAAGACACCCUACCCUCUCCUCCCUGGUGUAUAAAUGGGAACUAGCAAAUUUUGCCGUUUGGCGUUUGAUCUAGCCAUCUAACAGAAUGCUAGAAGCUGUACUAGUGUGCUGUUUACCAGCAUCCAUCUCAGAGGAAGAACUCAUAUUGCUAGAGGUUUUAUGGUAUGAAAAAACAUACUUUAAAACCACACACAAGUUUAGCUCGUUUUGUGAGUAAUUUGCCCCAAAGACUGUUGGCUUCAUUCGAUAUUCUCCAACAAAUUGGCGUAAGUUAUACUUGUGAACGUAUAGCCAUUAAAUUGGCUACAUUCAACAUAUAAGGGUUGUUUUUCCCUGACAUUAGGCUGACUAAAAGAUGGCCACAGAUCCAUUUUGAUCACUCGGUGAUCGAGUCCUCUAGAACAUCCUAAUGAAACAGUACAACCCCGAGCAGCCAUAACGAUUGCGACUAAAUCAUGUCUGUCUGCUUCAUGUUCUCUAGAAGUUCAAAGCCAGCAGUUCAGCAAGGUAGAUACGUCAAACUGUACAAACUCGACAAAGUUUGUCCUCUUGUAAAAUGUCAAAUAAACACCACACGAAAAUAUGGCGACAAAGAUUCCAUUAGAAUAUUCACACACUAUUGUUUUAUCCAAAGUUCAAAGCUAACGCCACCUUGUACAAGAUAGUAAACAGUACGACCUGAAAAAACUGCUUUCAAUAGCUUUCAUUAGAAUUUAAUCCAGACUUGUUAAACCACCUUGUUCAGCAUAAUAAACAGAACCAUAAGAAAGUAUUCUUCGAUAGCUUUCACAUGAACGGUCACACAACGAAGUUUCGUCCACAGACUGAAAAGUUAGAACCACCUUGUACAGCAUAAUAAACAGUACCACGUGAAAUUA